This 353-nucleotide unclassified non-coding RNA is filed under the name soil metagenome. Its description in RNAcentral is "partial contains 5.8S ribosomal RNA, internal transcribed spacer 2, and large subunit ribosomal RNA". The stretch from base 1 to 120 matches the Rfam family "5.8S ribosomal RNA", at positions 35 to 154 of the family's 154-position model. The record is from RNAcentral.
GAUGAAGAACGUAGCGAAAUGCGAUAAGUAAUGUGAAUUGCAGAAUUCAGUGAAUCAUCGAGUCUUUGAACGCACAUUGCGCCCGCCAGUAUUCUGGCGGGCAUGCCUGUUCGAGCGUCAUUACAACCCUCAGGCCCCCGGGCCUGGCGUUGGGGAUCGGCGGAAGCCCCCUGCGGGCACAACGCCGUCCCCCAAAUACAGUGGCGGUCCCGCCGCAGCUUCCAUUGCGUAGUAGCUAACACCUCGCAACUGGAGAGCGGCGCGGCCACGCCGUAAAACACCCAACUUCUGAAUGUUGACCUCGAAUCAGGUAGGAAUACCCGCUGAACUUAAGCAUAUCAAUAAGCGGAGGA